RNAcentral lists this ribosomal RNA (415 nucleotides) under Acanthamoeba sp. RNAcentral describes it as "SSU rRNA". The stretch from base 1 to 371 matches the Rfam family "Eukaryotic small subunit ribosomal RNA", at positions 762 to 1115 of the family's 1831-position model. The record is from RNAcentral. RNAcentral also lists the same sequence under 3 other names. Lineage: Eukaryota; Discosea; Longamoebia; Acanthamoebidae.
AAAAUUAGAGUGUUCAAAGCAGGCAGAUCCAAUUUUCUGCCACCGAAUACAUUAGCAUGGGAUAAUGGAAUAGGACCCUGUCCUCCUAUUUUCAGUUGGUUUUGGCAGCGCGAGGACUAGGGUAAUGAUUAAUAGGGAUAGUUGGGGGCAUUAAUAUUUAAUUGUCAGAGGUGAAAUUCUUGGAUUUAUGAAAGAUUAACUUCUGCGAAAGCAUCUGCCAAGGAUGUUUUCAUUAAUCAAGAACGAAAGUUAGGGGAUCGAAGACGAUCAGAUACCGUCGUAGUCUUAACCAUAAACGAUGCCGACCAGCGAUUAGGAGACGUUGAAUACAAAACACCACCAUCGGCGCGGUCGUCCUUGGCGUCGGUCCUUCGGGGCCGGCGCGAGGGCGGCUUAGCCCGGUGGCACCGGUGAA